GUCCUACGGGGGGCAGCAGUGAGGAAUAUUGGUCAAUGGCCGAGAGGCUGAACCAGCCAAGUCGCGUGAGGGAUGACGGCCCUACGGGUUGUAAACCUCUUUUGCCGGGGAGCAAAGAGCGGGACGCGUCCCGCCUCGAGAGUACCCGGAGAAAAAGCAUCGGCUAACUCCGUGCCAGCAGCCGCGGUAAUACGGAGGAUGCGAGCGUUAUCCGGAUUUACUGGGUUUAAAGGGUGCGUAGGCGGACUGUUAAGUCAGCGGUAAAAUCCCGGGGCUCAACCCCGGCGAGCCGUUGAAACUGGCUG
RNAcentral lists this ribosomal RNA (305 nucleotides) under uncultured bacterium. Its description in RNAcentral is "bacterial SSU rRNA". It matches the Rfam family "Bacterial small subunit ribosomal RNA", at positions 335 to 639 of the family's 1533-position model. The record is from RNAcentral.